AGCGGAGCUGCGGACCGCGCGCGCCGGGCUGCCUGCAUCCGCGAGGCGAUGAUACGCGUCCCGCAGCCACGGGAGUGACGGCAGCUCGAGCGGGGACCCCGCGGGCUCUGCCUCCGCGCGCCACCGCCCACUCCGCUCCGCUCCGGUCCGGUCCGGUGCGGUGCGCUGCGCUGCGCUGUGGAGAGCCGGGAACGGCGCGCUCCGUCCGGGGUACACAGACAGCCCUGGAAGGAACUGAGCCAGGAUUACUCUGUCCGCCCGCAAAGCUUCUUCUGAUACCCAACAAACCCAGUUCCUCAGAGGAGGGCUCGUUAUUAUUAGAGGGAUCCACGCGAGCAAAACCAACCUCUAGGGAGACGGUCCCUUUCCAAAGCAAGCGAAGGCAAGAGCAGAUGGGUACCGAGUCCAGUGCUAAAGAGAACAGUCAAGGCCUCCUACUGGGAGCAGGUUAAAGCAGAUGCAAGCAGAGCUCCUGGAGGAGCAUUGGAACACCUCCCGGCCACAAUCUACCCCACAGGUGGAAGAUAUCACCACGUGGGAAAGAGCUUCACCAUUGUUUGCAAACCUUAUCACCAAGCACUGGUACAUCCUGCAGGCCCC
RNAcentral lists this long non-coding RNA (600 nucleotides) under Scleropages formosus (Asian bonytongue). Its description in RNAcentral is "lncRNA (ENSSFOG00015026880.1)". Lineage: Eukaryota; Metazoa; Chordata; Actinopteri; Osteoglossiformes; Osteoglossidae. The record is from RNAcentral.